UACCACACUAACAGACACCUAGACAAAAUGCAGUGGUGAUGCAAUGCAGAUAACAAAAUCUCUUUCUUACAGGCACACAAAUGUUCUGUCCACCCAAAUUUCUAUCACAGGGCAAGUACCACGAGGAGGCAGGCAACUCAAUCCGCUUAUAUGAGCUGCCAACGUGGAGUGCUGCACCGGGACAUCAAACAGGAAGACCGACUGCUGCCAACUGAUCUGCUUUUGCCUGCAGCGUGAUCCACAAAAGAGACUCGUUUUGGGCAAGAUUCUGCACCAUGAAUGGUUUAAGUGCACAAAUAUGAAGACAACUGGCAUAUAGUGGCCAUGUUCUCUGUCACAGCCAGCCCAGGUCUUGUCAUGUACAGUUGGCUCAUCAUUUUAUGGGCUUGCUCCAUUUUCAUCCUUGCAAGCCCCCCACCCAAAAUAAGAAAAAAUUAACAGUUAUGUUCUUAUACUCAGUUUUUUAGGUU
This is a long non-coding RNA of Carassius carassius (crucian carp), 470 nucleotides long. RefSeq lists it as uncharacterized. The transcript has 3 exons. The record is from RefSeq and is a predicted model, not a curated record. Lineage: Eukaryota; Metazoa; Chordata; Actinopteri; Cypriniformes; Cyprinidae.